GAUGAAGAACGUAGCGAUAUGCGAUACUUGGUGUGAAUUGCAGAAUCCCGUGAACCAUCGAGUCUUUGAACGCAAGUUGCGCCCGAAGCCAUCAGGUUGAGGGCACGUCUGCCUGGGCGUCACAUAUCGUUGCCCAAUGCCUAUUGCAGUGCAAUAGGAAUUUCUAGGGCGAAUGAUGGCUUCCCGUGAGCGUUGUUGCCUCGCGGUUGGUUGAAAAUCGAGUCCUUGGUAGGGUGUGCCAUGGUAGAUGGUGGUCGAGUUAGAACGAUACCGAUCAUGUGCAUGCUCCCCAAAAUAUGGCCUCUAUGACCCACACGCGUCUUUUGACGCUCAUGACGAGACCUCAGGUCAGGCGGGGCUACCCGCUGAAUUUAAGCAUAUCAAUAAGCGGAGGA
RNAcentral lists this unclassified non-coding RNA (395 nucleotides) under soil metagenome. RNAcentral describes it as "partial contains 5.8S ribosomal RNA, internal transcribed spacer 2, and large subunit ribosomal RNA". The stretch from base 1 to 122 matches the Rfam family "5.8S ribosomal RNA", at positions 35 to 154 of the family's 154-position model. The record is from RNAcentral.